Haliotis rufescens (red abalone) is the source of this 1379-nucleotide RNA transcript. It is a transcript of the gene named 5'-deoxynucleotidase HDDC2-like, with no coding region annotated. The record is from RefSeq and is a predicted model, not a curated record. Lineage: Eukaryota; Metazoa; Mollusca; Gastropoda; Lepetellida; Haliotidae. The transcript is spliced from 7 exons.
UGUCUCCAUUAUUGUUCCUGCAACAACACGAGUGAAUGGAUCCCCAAUUUGCAUCAACUUGGACCACCGUAGAAUUGAAGCAAAUGUUUUGUCUUGGAUAUUUAUUUCAUCUUGUCGUUCAUCAUUAAUUGAGACGGGUUCUUUUCUUAAUAUUUUCAUAGCUCGUGCAAAACCAUACAAUGCUUUCUCCCCCGCCAAUGGACCUUCAAACUCCAUGGAAGUUGAACCAGACAUUUUCCCCAUUGAAGAUUCAUUAGCACCAUUAUUGAUUACUUCUUCAAUCGUAAUAGUUGUUUUUCUUUCACUCCCUGAACUGAAACGAGAUUUCGUCAAUGUCAACACCGAUGUUUUGCGGAGAGCAUGGAGGCUGACAUACAACAUGGAAGAGGCCAUGUUUGAUAUGCAUGUACGUCGUACUGGCUGGGUACAGAAAAAAGUUGGUGUUGGAGGGGGUCCUGAGAGUGUUGCUGACCACAUGUACAGAAUGGCUGUGCUGUCUUUCCUUGUAGACCCUGGGGCAGGAUUAGAUAAACACAGGUGUAUGAAGAUUGCUCUAGUUCACGACAUGGCUGAGUGUAUUGUGGGUGAUAUUACACCACAGGAUGGCAUCAGCAAGGAGGACAAACAUAAGAAGGAGAAGACAGCCAUGAAACACAUCUGCAGUCUGGUGGAAGAGAGUGUUGGGCAAGAGAUCUACAGUCUGUGGCAGGAAUAUGAAGAUCAGAGUAGUAAAGAAGCAGAGUUUAUAAAAGAUAUAGACAGGUUUGAAAUGAUCCUACAAGCAUUUGAGUAUGAACAGAUGGACAUGAAACCGAGAUACCUUCAAGAUUUCUUCGACAGCACAAAAGCAUCAAGGGGCGAAAUCCAUUCAGGUACUGAAAAGCAGUCUUCUGGCCUGUCAAGUCGCUCCUUCAGGGACACAAGUCUGUUCUCUUUCUCAAUGUAGACAGCCUUUCUUGGUGGUGGGGCUGCUCCAGAGAGAUUUCCAUCACUUUUGUAUUUGGGAUGUGGAUAAGGUUAAAGAGAUGGCUGAAUGAUCCGAUUUGUAGACUGCUGAUAUAUUUGCAUCUAGUGUAAUAUUACUUACAUUUUCUGAUAUUAAAAAGAAGUCUAGUCUACCUUGUUGUCGCGGGUUCUUUUUCCACCAGGUAUAUUUAUUAAAAGUAGGGUUAAGUUCUCUCCAAAUAUCAUGAAGAUUAUAUCUCUCCAUAUUUUCUAUAAUAAAAUUUCGCGCUUUAGGGUUGUUGAUAUGUUUAUAAUUUUCAAGAUCUAUGUUUGGAUCUAUUACCAAAUUCCAAUCACUACAUAUAUCCCAAGAGUCAUUUUCAAAUUCUAGCAUAUCUGUAAAUAAUUGUUUAUAAAAAUUUGGAUCAUCAUUA